CAAGUCGAACGGCACCCCUCUCCGGAGGGAAGCGAGUGGCGAACGGCUGAGUAACACGUGGAGAACCUGCCCCCUCCCCCCGGGAUAGCCGCCCGAAAGGACGGGUAAUACCGGAUACCCCCGGGCGCCGCAUGGCGCCCGGGGCUAAAGCCCCGACGGGAGGGGAUGGCUCCGCGGCCCCAUCAGGUAGACGGCGGGGUGACGGCCCACCGUGCCGACAACGGGUAGCCGGGUUGAGAGACCGACCGGCCAGAUUGGGACUGAGACACGGCCCAGACUCCUACGGGAGGCAGCAUG
RNAcentral lists this ribosomal RNA (297 nucleotides) under uncultured bacterium. RNAcentral's name for it is "partial 16S ribosomal RNA". It matches the Rfam family "Bacterial small subunit ribosomal RNA", at positions 58 to 353 of the family's 1533-position model. The record is from RNAcentral.